AUUGAACGCUGGCGGCAUGCCUUACACAUGCAAGUCGAACGGCAACGCGGGAGCAAUCCUGGCGGCGAGUGGCGAACGGGUGAGUAAUACAUCGGAACGUGCCCAGUAAUGGGGGAUAGCCCGGCGAAAGCCGGAUUAAUACCGCAUACGACCUACGGGUGAAAGCGGGGGAUUCGCAAGAACCUCGCGUUAUUGGAGCG
This 200-nucleotide ribosomal RNA is filed under the name uncultured bacterium. RNAcentral's name for it is "partial 16S ribosomal RNA". It matches the Rfam family "Bacterial small subunit ribosomal RNA", at positions 30 to 228 of the family's 1533-position model. The record is from RNAcentral.